AGCUCACUGUGUGCACUAGUGUCUCCUCACUUGCACUGGAUACACGAAGCAAGACGUUUUGACUUCCCCGAGAUCUCCCUGAAACCCGCCAAACAUUCACACGGACGGCGGACUACAGUUCCAGCAAACCUAGGCCUGGGGAAAUCAUUAACCAGAGACAAAGCACAACAGCACACUGCUCUAAUGCACAGAACAGUGGCGUCUUUUUCCCGCAACCCAAAGUGUCAGUUUCAUCCUCGUCAUCUUUAGACACGGCUUCUGCCAGCGGCGUUCGAAUCAUGCCCAGAACACACUGCAGCACUCUCCACAGGAAAAAAAGAAAAGAAAAGAGAAUGUACCUGAUGUCUGGAAAGUGAAAAUCGUUUGCUCAAGUGCAGUACAUCUCUAUACCGUUCCCUGUUGGAUGUUAGAAUGUUUGUGAAUUUUUUUUUUUUUUUGCACUAUAUCCUACCUCGCCUAAAAAAGUUUCCAGCCACAUCUCGCAUUGUAUUAUUUGUGUUUAGCUUUGUUUUUC
Molecule: long non-coding RNA, 514 nt
Filed under: Sinocyclocheilus anshuiensis
Lineage: Eukaryota; Metazoa; Chordata; Actinopteri; Cypriniformes; Cyprinidae
Description: lncRNA (ENSSANG00000040125.1)
Source: RNAcentral